RNAcentral lists this transfer-messenger RNA (395 nucleotides) under Bifidobacterium minimum. Its description in RNAcentral is "Standard tmRNA". It matches the Rfam family "transfer-messenger RNA". Rfam says of the family: Bacterial tmRNA, also known as 10Sa RNA or SsrA, is named for its dual tRNA and mRNA-like properties. Lineage: Bacteria; Bacillati; Actinomycetota; Actinomycetes; Bifidobacteriales; Bifidobacteriaceae. The record is from Rfam by way of RNAcentral.
GGGGCUGAUCGGUUUCGACGGUGACCUGUUCGUCGCAGGGAAGCGUGCCGAGAACGCGGAGUCCACUCGCUGACGUCCUCCGCAAAACAACAAGUGCUAAAUCUAACCGCACUGAGUUCGCUCUCGCUGCCUGAUUUCUGAUCAGGAUUAACCAGUGAGCAGCGGCUCCGUUCACUCCCUCCCGUCUUCGGGGGAUGCUGAGCGUCAUUUAGAAGACUUGCUUCAGUCGUUGACCUUCGGGGCGACUGAGGGACUUUAACCGCGGGUAUGCUCGCCAUCGGUCGUCCGCGACACAGAUGGGGGCAGAAAAACCGCCACAAGGCCAGCGGACUACGCACGUAGAAGACUGAGGGUACGGUCAUCGGACCCGGGUUCAAUUCCCGGCAGCUCCACAG